AAAAAGGCAAACCGCGAGUUUGCGUGCCAACGUUUGACUAUCCGUCUUAUAUGAAAUUUUUUUAUAAUUAGUAUUUUUAUUGUUGUUAGAUGAUAAAACAUGAUAAAUACUUUAUGCGUGACUUAUCUUUCUAAUUUUUUUCAUAAUUUUUCAAAUAAGACGGAUGGUCAAACAUUGGAUACGGAAACCAGGGUUUGUCUUUUU
RNAcentral lists this microRNA precursor (204 nucleotides) under Oryza barthii. Its description in RNAcentral is "MIR812 microRNA precursor family". It matches the Rfam family "MIR812 microRNA precursor family". Lineage: Eukaryota; Viridiplantae; Streptophyta; Magnoliopsida; Poales; Poaceae. The record is from Rfam by way of RNAcentral.